GCCUACGGGGCGCAGCAGUAGAGAAUCUUCCACAAUGGGCGAAAGCCUGAUGGAGCAACGCCGCGUGGGUGAAGAAGGUCUUCGGAUCGUAAAACCCUGUUGUUAGAGAAGAAAGUGCGUGAGAGUAACUGUUCACGUUUCGACGGUAUCUAACCAGAAAGCCACGGCUAACUACGUGCCAGCAGCCGCGGUAAUACGUAGGUGGCAAGCGUUAUCCGGAUUUAUUGGGCGUAAAGAGGACGCAGGCGGUCUUUUAAGUCUGAUGUGAAAGCCUUCGGCUUAACCGGAGUAGUGCAUUGGAAACU
RNAcentral lists this ribosomal RNA (305 nucleotides) under uncultured bacterium. RNAcentral describes it as "bacterial SSU rRNA". It matches the Rfam family "Bacterial small subunit ribosomal RNA", at positions 337 to 634 of the family's 1533-position model. The record is from RNAcentral.